AUGGGGAGCGUACCCCGAGGGGCUGCCCCACAGAGGGUAGCACCAAACAGUACCUUGGGAAAGCCCCGAGCCCCUCUGCAUCCCCCCGCAGAGCAAGACCCUCGGUGGGCACCCACCCCGUCCCACUCCCCCCACAGCACCCAGAGCUCCAGGAGCCACGGGCAGCAAAGUAGGGUGGCUCUGGGCUUGUCACUGAGCAACAACAUUUCAUUUCCAAGUUACUACCUUUCCCUUUUCCUGGAGAGCCCCAAACUCUCCCAUUUAUCACCCCGAGCAGGGCACUGCUGCUCCGUUUGCGGCGAGGCUUCGGAUGCAGCCCUGGCACCCCCGUGCCAGGGACCCAGGGCAUCAGCACCGCUCGCCCACCCAACGCUGGCACCUCCCAGACCUCCCAGUACGAUGCCAACAGCCCGGUGCCCCAUGGCAGGACCACCCCCAAAUCCCAGAGGAACAAUGUCAGGAUGCACAUUCACCCUCAGCUCCACCGCUACAGGAAUGGGAGGGGGGCACAGGAGGUGCUGGCUGCACCCCCCCCAAGUUUCCCCUUGCAAAUGGGGCCUCUUGAGCGUACCCCGAGGGGCUGCCCCGCAGAGGUUAGCACCAAACAGUACCUUGGGAAAGCCCCGAGCCCCUCUGCAUCCCCCAUGUUUCCCCUUGCAAAUGGGGAGCGUACCCCGAGGGGCUGCCCCACAGAGGGUAGCACCAAACAGUACCUUGGGAAAGCCCCGAGCCCCUCUGCAUCCCCCCGCAGAGCAAGACCCUCGGUGGGCACCCACCCCGUCCCACUCCCCCCACAGCACCCAGAGCUCCAGGAGCCACGGGCAGCAAAGUAGGGUGGCUCUGGGCUUGUCACUGAGCAACAACAUUUCAUUUCCAAGUUACUACCUUUCCCUUUUCCUGGAGAGCCCCAAACUCUCCCAUUUAUCACCCCGAGCAGGGCACUGCUGCUCCGUUUGCGGCGAGGCUUCGGAUGCAGCCCUGGCACCCCCGUGCCAGGGACCCAGGGCAUCAGCACCGCUCGCCCACCCAACGCUGGCACCUCCCAGACCUCCCAGUACGAUGCCAACAGCCCGGUGCCCCAUGGCAGGACCACCCCCAAAUCCCAGAGGAACAAUGUCAGGAUGCACCAGCUCAAAAUGCCACUUAUCCUGA
RNAcentral lists this long non-coding RNA (1152 nucleotides) under Calidris pugnax (ruff). RNAcentral describes it as "lncRNA (ENSCPUG00000013971.1)". The record is from RNAcentral. Lineage: Eukaryota; Metazoa; Chordata; Aves; Charadriiformes; Scolopacidae.